RNAcentral lists this ribosomal RNA (621 nucleotides) under uncultured fungus. Its description in RNAcentral is "eukaryotic LSU rRNA". The stretch from base 245 to 398 matches the Rfam family "5.8S ribosomal RNA". The record is from RNAcentral. Lineage: Eukaryota; Fungi.
CUUGGUCAUUUAGAGGAAGUAAAAGUCGUAACAAGGUUUCCGUAGGUGAACCUGCGGAAGGAUCAUUAUCGAAUGAAACUUCUGGCCAGAUGUUGUUGUGCUGGCCCUUUGGGGCAAUGUGCACGCCUCCGGUCGUCUGUUUCUUCUGUUCCACCUGUGCACUGCCUGUAGACACUCUUGUGUCUAUGAUUAUGGUUACAAACAUGAUGUUUUGCAUGUCGGUUACAUAUAUAUGAUAAUAUACAACUUUCAACAAUGGAUCUCUUGGCUCUCGCAUCGAUGAAGAACACAGCGAAAUGUGAUAAGUAAUGUGAAUUGCAGAAUCCAGUGAAUCAUCGAAUCUUUGAACGCAUCUUGCGCUCCUUGGCAUUCCGAGGAGCAUGCCUGUUUGAGGGUCAUUAAACUAUCGAAACACCUUUCUUUGGGGGGGUGUUUUGGACUUUGGGAGUGUUUUGCUGGCCUGUUUGAGCCAGCUCUCCUCAAAAGCAUUAGCUUUGGAGACUGUCAGUGUGAUAACUUUGUUUGACGCUGAGUCUCUGCUUCUUAAAUAUAUAUGCCCCCUUUGACCUCAAAUCAGGUAGGACUACCCGCUGAACUUAAGCAUAUCAAUAAGCGGAGGAA